This is a non-coding RNA of Chlorocebus sabaeus (green monkey), 5968 nucleotides long. Lineage: Eukaryota; Metazoa; Chordata; Mammalia; Primates; Cercopithecidae. The record is from RefSeq and is a predicted model, not a curated record.
GCCAAGAUCAUGCCACUGCACUCCAGCCCAGGCGAUAGAGUGAGACUCCAUCUCAAAGAAAAAGAAAAAAGUUUUUGGAGGAAGGAAUAAUAUUCUUUACAAUUUUAAUACCUGGAAAUGCCUUUUUAUUUACAAUAUUUCUUUAGACUGUGAACUUCCCAUAGCAAAGACUUUUCCAUAUUUGUUUUAAUUUACUUAAUGCCCAGCACAUGGGGUUACUCUUACAUGUUUCUGAAAUGCAUGCCAUUGUGGAUUGUGUGAAAUGAAAUGCAUGUGGUUUUUUAACUGAUCACUCAAGUUGAUUAGACUGCCACGUCCCAUGCGAAAAGAGGGUGCUCAGAAAGCCAGGAUUGGAUAAUAAUUUGAGAAUACUCAAGUUUCUAGUAGUCCUAGUCAGUUGAACCUAAAAAUGCCAUUAACCCUUUCUCAAAGAAGCAGAUUGGAGGUGAGUAGCAGUUGUGUGGCUUUUUGGUAUGCAGCUGUUCACUUUCAAAACUUAAUUUAAAACAAUAAAAAAUGUACCUCGAAAUCAUUUUGUUUCCCUAUUUAUUUAAUGUGAUUUAUUCUAAAUGCGUUUCAUAUCACCAUAAUGUAUUGGAGCUCAACCACCACCUGUUAUUUUGUAGGGGAAAUAAACAAGACCUCUCUCAUCAGAUGAGUUAAUUACACUGACAUAUUCACUCCUCCCCAGAGAUACCAUAAACUAAAAUGCCGCAAAGCUUUAAUUCAAACAAGCAGGCUGGAAACAAGAGCUAUUGCAGUGGUAUAAUUUUCUUUGGGAGAAUCAAAAGCUCAACACAGGCUUGAACUUAGGGGGCAAGAUAGCUGGAGUUGAUCAAAUGGAGGCUUGUCUAGGGUCGCAUAAUAAAUCUGUAGGUGAGUUUAGCUUGAACCCAUUUCUCAAUGUUUUGGCACUAUUUUCCAACCUUUGUGCUUCUGAGCAUCAUGUGGUCAUUUUUAAAACUGUUUCAUCCCGUUAUUUCUCCCUCCCCUCAGGUGUUUGUCUGGGGAUGGCUGUGCACCCGGAAGGCCAUUCGCUCCAUGAAGAAUGUGAAGGAGGUACCUGGUCCUACCUGGAUUCUUGGGUGUGCGGGCAGCAGCAGCAGCAGCCAUAGUGAACUUCAUCCUAAGGAAAUUAAGCACGUGUUGCAUGAGGCUGCUGUGGGGGUGCCAGGUGCUGGAGUUUCUGUAGUGGAUAAAACACAAAAAUACCAGACCUCAUGGUGAAAAGAGAACGACAAUAAACAAGAUAAAUUAGAUCUAUGGUGUUGAGGAGGGAGGCGGGACUUUAGUCUGGAGACUGGGUUCCGAUGACUCCAGACCAAAUUGAAGACUAGUUAAAACAGGGACCCGACGGGAGCAGCUUUCCCUAAGACACCUCACCCGUCUGCCAUGUCAGUUUACCAUUGCCAUGGCAACACCCGGGAGUUACCACCCCUUUCCAUGGCAAUGACCCAAGGAUCCAAAAGUUACCACCCUUCCUCUGGAAAUUUCUGCAUCAACUGGCCCUUAAUCUACAAGUCAUUAAAAGUAAGUGUAAAUAUGGCUGCAAAACUGCCCUGAGCUGCUACUCUCGGCACACUGCCCAUGGGGUAGCCCAGCUCUGCAGGAGCAGUCACAGAGCUGUAAUACUGCCGGAGCUAUAACACUGACGCUUCAAUAAAGCUGUUUUCUUCUACUCUACCACUGGCUCACCCUUGAAUUGUUUCCUGGGUGAAGCCAAGAACCCUCAUGGGCUAAACUCCAAUCCGGAGUUGCCUGUCCUGCACCAGCAUCUUAUAUUCAUAAGUUCCAUAAAGAAAAUAAGGCAGGGGAGGGUCCAUGGUGGUGUGGGCAGUGUAAGUUGUACUUUUAAAUAGGGUGGUCAGGGCCGCAUUCUCUGCUAUACAUAAUGAUUGCUGGGAACUUUUGGGCAAAUGAGUAACUCAGAACUAAAUAAGUAGCUUAAUAAACAGUCUUUCCAUUUGUUUUUCACAAAAUACAUUUUUAGUUCAUAUACAAUGGAAGCAGGGUCACAUAUUAUACAAUUCCAGGGAGCUCCACUCAAAACUGGGCUUGUCAACAUGGCAACCCAGGGAGUGAGUGCAUUUUAAUAUUCUUGACAUAACCCAAGGUGGUACCUCCUAUGACAAGAAUGGCCAGGAUUACAAAAGUCUUAAAAGAGCCCUUCUCACUUUGGUCACGUAGCAUUGCAGGUCUGCAAGUCAAAUGACAGGGCACCCUAGGAAAAGUGGUGUUUGCCAACUGAACUCUUGGAGGUAGAUUGAUAAAUCCACAAACCAAUUUAUUCAUUUACAGCAGGCGAUGUAACCGGCACAAUAACUCAAUCAGUCUCUUUCCUGGUAUUGACUUACCUGAGGAACCAAAUUAAUUAUCAGAAGGUUGCUCUGCUAAGUAUGGAAUUAGAAAGAAAGGAAAUUGGAUGGUCUUAAGGGAUUGUUCUUACAGGCUUGGAUAAAUCCUGAUAAAUUGCCUUUAAAGAGAAAGGAAUGCGUUGCUCUUUGAGAACCUGGCUCAGUUGUAACCACCUUCUCCUUGAACUCUGACGCUGACCCAAGUUUGUCAUCCAAGGCUUUUAGUUUACACUUGUUCUUAUAUUACCUCGUUUCAAAAAAAAAAUCUAAAUUGCAUUGUAAAUCAAUGAGAUUUUAAGUGUGCUGUGUUCUGACUGUGUCCAGGGAGGUAUUUUAAUCUCAUGGAUAAAUGGUAAUCUUUCAUCAGAGAUAAUUUCCUCUUUUUGAUCUUUCUCUUUAUUCCUUUGUCUGUCUUGCUUUUUAGGUCCUUUUUCUUUUUUCUCACCACCAUAGCAAAUGUCUCAAAAAACUGUGGUUGUAAAAUAUACAGAUAACAACCACGCCUUUAUUUCAUCAUAGUGGUUAGGAGCACACACUCCAGCUAAAUCCUGGUCCUUCUUGGAGGCUGUAUGAUCUUAAGUAAGCUCACUUUGCUUCAAUUUUCUUAUUUAUAAAGUGGGGAUAAUAACAGCCAUGUUAUAGAGUUAUUCUGAUGAUUCCAAAGGGCCUCAGAGACCUAGGAUCCGCAAAAUCAAAAGUAUGUUCAUAAAAAUAUUAAGGAGUAUAUUAUGUUCAUAAAAAUAUUAAGGAGUAAUUAGCCUUUUCACUUAGUUGAUUUUUGGAAUAAUGGUGCAAGAUCCAUGCUGGGUAGACAGUGGUGCCUCAGUAUGACAAGUGGUGGCACCAACUGUGCUAGCAGUCUUGGUAUUCUGCACCACUUGCGGGGGGGGGAAAAUGAAACUUAAGAACAGCCUUGAUGAAGUAGUAACAUUUCUUAAUUUUAUUAAAUCUUGAUUUUUUAAUGUUCUGUGUGAUAAAAAGGGAAGUGUAUUUAAAGCACUUCUGCUAUAUAAGGUAUCAUGAUGGUUGUUUCUAGGAAAACACUUGUAUGAUUGAAUUGGGAGCUGAAGUAGACAUGGCUUUCAUAAAACAUUUUUAUUUGGAAAAAUGACUGACAAAUUAUGGUAAUUCAGACCUCAGAAUCUGGCUGAUUUUUUUUUUUUUUUGAAAAUGAGCAAAAUGAGUAUCACUGCAAGGAAAACAGCAAGUGGUAUUUGUUGCCAAUGAUAAAAUCCUUAUUUUCAAGCAAAAAUGAGAAUUUUGUAAAAGUUGAACCUGCCACUAUGAGCUUGACAGCUUCCCCAUGCUUAAAUACUUUUCUGAUAAGAAUGGUGGUGAUAUGAACUAUGUCAGUAUCGGGAGUAUCUUCAUAACCUGCUAAGUCAAUAUUUUCCAGAUGACCAAUGUGUGAUGUUACAAAACCAUGCAUGCAUUAAAGGUCUAUUCAAAUUGCAAGAUAGACCAAAUGGAUUUUAAUGUAGCAGAGUAUGAAAAGUCUAUUGAAUAUGAUUUCACAUUCCACAUUGUAGUAACCUUUAAAAACUUAUUACCUGUUGAGUUUUGGUGUAGUAUCAAAGAAGAAAAUCCUUACUUAUCUGAAAAGCUUUUUAAAAUACUCUUAUUUUUUCUAAGCACACACAUGUUGGGACUGGAUUUUCCUCAUAUACUUGCCUUAACCAGAACAUAUUAUUACAGACUGAACACAGGGAAGGAUAGGAGAAUGUAGCUGUUUUCUACAACUAGGCAUUAAAAAUGUACUUCUUACUAAAUCUUUUUUGUUUUGGAAACUAUAGUUAUCCUUUUAUAGGCAUAUGUUGUUUAUAUUAACAUGUAAUGGAUUCACUGUCAUUUAUUAUUAAUUUAUUAUUUUAGCAUGAAUUUUUAAAUAAACAUAUUAAAACUUCCGCAGUUUUAAUUUCUACCACGGCAAAUGUUGAUUGUGAUAAGCCAUAUAAACAAAAACUCUCUGGGAAGCUCAAUGAUUUCUAAGAGUGUGAAGGCAUCUUAAGACCUAAAAGUCUUGAGUGUCACUGAUUUAGAACAUUGCUUAGCUCAUAGGAAACGGCACGUAAUCCUUAACACUUUUAUCGGCUAAUUCUUCACACGCCUAGAAUUACUUGUUCCCAAAGUAUGUAUAAUUUUAAUAAGAGUUAACUUUUAUUAAAGAUUUACUUUGUGUGUGCCAGACACUGUGCUAUUUGCUUUGCAUGUAUUAUCUAACCUAACUUUUAAUAAAAUGUGAUGAGAUAGGUACCAAUGUUAGUUUUGUUUUAUAGAUGAGGGAAAUGAAGUACGGAAAGGUUAGGUAAUUUGACCAAGGUCACACAGCUAUGGAAUAGCAGAAAUGAGACCCCAGGCAGUCUGAUUCCAGACUGCCCCUCAUGACUUUUUUUCUAUGUGAGUUGUGUUUAUAUUAUUUCCCCAUUUAAGUGCUCUGAGUCCCUCACCAACUUGAUUGUGGGAUCAGAGUCCAUUCCCCUGACUCAACCCAAGCAAGUCUCCCCAGUACUUUCUAGGAACUUCCAAAAGAGUACCUCUCUCAUGGAGCCACAGUGAAGUCUGGUUACCAAACGAGUUGAAGUUUUGCCAUCACCUUCCUAAUGAUGCUCUUCAUAUAUAAGCUAUUACCUCACAACAUCUGGGACACCAACAAGUGCUGGUUCUAUCAAGACUGGCUAUAUAAUUUGCAGGAUCCAGUGCAAAAUAAAAAUGUGGGGCCUCUUCUUUAAAAGUAAGUCUGCAGCUGCAAAGCAUUGAUCAAGUACAGAGUUCCAUGUGAAGUGCUCUUUCAGUUGCAUGCCUGGGGAAUUGGCUCUGGGUUCUCUGCAGAGACGGGAAAUACCACAGCCUUUCUGAAUCUGUCACAGCUUGUGCCCCUUGGGCAUGAAAGCAGGAGCCUCAUGGCCCCACAUACUUUCUUGUGAAAAUGGGUCCUGCAGCUUCCAGUCUUUGGUCCUCUAGCCAGAGACCAUCGAAUCUAGUACACAGGGAUGGAGGUGCUGAUGCCUUGAUACUCGCUCUGCUAUCUUGUCUUUCCUCUCCUUCCAGCAGCAAAACCAAGCCUUUGUGCUCAUCUGUGGUUGUGACCAGUUGGAGAGACAUUAGGAGAUGAGAUACUGUGUUCACUCCUCACAGCUGAACCAGGGACCUGAGAUAUUCCAUCACUAUUCUAUAACAAAAGGCAAAUAUGCAAAGGACACUCAGGUAUGAAAAUCACCCCUCCUCCGUGAACUGGUGGCCUGUGAAAGAGGAACCCAGAGAGGAACUGGCAUUCUUCUAUUUCUAUAUUUCCUUCGUUUGGCACCAAAGGCCUCCCAUCAGCGCCAUGAGGGGGAUGCUUUUAGCAUCUCCAUCUCACAGAUGAAGACACUGAGGCUUAGCCAGAUGAAGCGGCUUCUCCAGCUGAGUGGUGCAGGCAGUACUUCCUUUGCAGCCUAGGUUCCUUCCUUUGCAGCCACGUUUCCAUUCACCUGGAUGGAGGGAGCUAUGGUGCAUUACUCACGAGUGACAGAACCAACGAGCUUCAUCUCCCAAGAGGCCGGUGCAUCUGUUUAAAAAGAGCAGGCGCUAUGCAGAGCCGCCCCCACCCCACCAUCCAUGGCGGAGUGCAGUGG